RNAcentral lists this long non-coding RNA (575 nucleotides) under Gallus gallus (chicken). Its description in RNAcentral is "lncRNA (ENSGALG00010016116.1)". The record is from RNAcentral. Lineage: Eukaryota; Metazoa; Chordata; Aves; Galliformes; Phasianidae.
AGCUGGCCUAGGCAGGAUUUUGCAAAAGGAAAGAAGAAUAUUCACACUAAGGUCCCUGAAGCCACACUUCUGCAAACUAGCAGCUACCAAAAAAUGGUGUCUUAUCCAUGGAUCUCUGCCAGGAGUUCAUCAGCCAUGUGGCUGAGUAGUAGCUCAAGUCACUGCCUGUGAGAUCAUGCUGUUGGCAAAGUGAAGUGCAUCUUCUUCACCAUGACCUGCUGCACAUAUCACACUGCUGGUGACUGAUGAAGACUGUACAAUCUGCAGGAGAAAGCACCGUCUUCUGAUGGUUUGAGAAGCACCCAGAGUACUUUGAGUCUAGGCAGAGUAAAAGUAGAACUAAUAAUGCUGGAGACCAGGACUUGUACUUCAAAACCCUACAACUGAUGGAUCUCAAGUAUAUGCUAUUGACCAGAAGUGUAUUCAAUUUGCAACCCUAUGUGUCCAGUAAAUCCAUUACUUAUUGCAGGGUUAUCUCAGGGGGCUUUAAAUUUUCACCUGGGUUGCUGAAAUCAUAAUUUUACCUAGGCUAUUUUAGAUAUUUUAGAACUAGAAAGCAGGAAUAAGAGAGUAAU